CCUACGGGUGACAGCAGUGGGGGAUAUUGCACAAUGGAGGGAACUCUGAUGCAGCGACGCCGCGUGAGGGAAGAAGGUUUUCGGAUUGUAAACCUCUGUCUUCGGUGACGAAACGAGACGGUAGCCGAGGAGGAAGCGCCGGCUAACUACGUGGCAGCAGCCGCGGUAAUGCGUAGGUGGCAAGCGGUGUCCGGAAUUACUGGGUGUAACGGGAGCGUAGGCGGAAAGGCAAGUUGAAUGUUUCAGGUACGGGCUCAACCUGUAAAAGCGUUGAAAACUUUUUUUCUUGAGUGGGGUAGAGGUAAGCGGAAUUCCUAGUGUAGCGGUGAAAUGCGUAAAUAUUAGGAGGAACACCAGUGGCGAAGGCGGCUUACUGGGCUUUAACUGACGCUGAGGCUCGAAAGCGUGGGUAGCAAACAGGAUUAGAUACCCUAGUAGUC
This 440-nucleotide ribosomal RNA is filed under the name uncultured bacterium. RNAcentral describes it as "partial 16S ribosomal RNA". It matches the Rfam family "Bacterial small subunit ribosomal RNA", at positions 338 to 795 of the family's 1533-position model. The record is from RNAcentral.